AAUACUGGUGGUGCGCGUGGCCUUCAGAGGGCGGCCCGCUGCGCGCUUGCAUUAGUGCACCCUAUGCGGGUUCG
Molecule: transfer RNA, 74 nt
Filed under: Tetraselmis striata
Lineage: Eukaryota; Viridiplantae; Chlorophyta; Chlorodendrophyceae; Chlorodendrales; Chlorodendraceae
Description: partial Selenocysteine transfer RNA
Source: RNAcentral